Molecule: non-coding RNA, 194 nt
Filed under: Lotharella oceanica
Lineage: Eukaryota; Cercozoa; Chlorarachniophyceae
Source: RNAcentral
UAGGAAAAAAAAAAAAAAAAAAAAAAAAAGAGGGCGGGGUGGAGGUGCUGACGUACGUGCGCGCCUGCUACUUACUUUGGUUGUUCUUAUCUUCUUUUUUUCUUUUUUUUUUUAUAUUAUUGUUCUUUACUACUUUCUUCAAAAAAAAAAAAAAGGAAAGGAAGAAAGAGAACGAACAUAUGAAGAAGGAAACA